RNAcentral lists this ribosomal RNA (467 nucleotides) under uncultured bacterium. RNAcentral describes it as "partial 16S ribosomal RNA". It matches the Rfam family "Bacterial small subunit ribosomal RNA", at positions 29 to 507 of the family's 1533-position model. The record is from RNAcentral.
ACGAACGCUGGCGGCGUGCUUAACACCUGCAAGUCGAACGGAAAGGCCCUGCUUUUGUGGGGUGCUCGAGUGGCGAACGGGUGAGUAACACGUGAGUAACCUGCCCUUGACUUUGGGAUAACUUCAGGAAACUGGGGCUAAUACCGGAUAGGAGCUCCUGCUGCAUGGUGGGGGUUGGAAAGUUUCGGCGGUUGGGGAUGGACUCGCGGCUUAUCAGCUUGUUGGUGGGGUAGUGGCUUACCAAGGCUUUGACGGGUAGCCGGCCUGAGAGGGUGACCGGCCACAUUGGGACUGAGAUACGGCCCAGACUCCUACGGGAGGCAGCAGUGGGGAAUAUUGCACAAUGGGCGGAAGCCUGAUGCAGCAACGCCGCGUGCGGGAUGACGGCCUUCGGGUUGUAAACCGCUUUCGCCUGUGACGAAGCGUGAGCGACGGUAAUGGGUAAAGAAGCACCGGCUAACUACGUG